UACGUAGGGUGCGAGCGUUAAUCGGAAUUACUGGGCGUAAAGCGUGCGCAGGCGGUCUGUUAAGACCGAUGUGAAAUCCCCGGGCUUAACCUGGGAAUGGCAUUUGGGACUGCAAGGCUUGAGUGCGGCAGAGGAGACUGGAAUUCCUGGUGUAGCAGUGAAAUGCGUAGAUAUCAGGAGGAACACCGAUGGCGAAGGCAGGUCUCUGGGCUGACACUGACGCUCAUGCACGAAAGCGUGGGGAGCAAACAGG
Molecule: ribosomal RNA, 253 nt
Filed under: uncultured bacterium
Lineage: Bacteria
Description: partial 16S ribosomal RNA
Rfam family: Bacterial small subunit ribosomal RNA
Source: RNAcentral